AUUUGCCUUCCUUGCCUGUUUGGCUAUCAGGCUAUGAAGAACUCUCAGAAAAAUAAAAAUAUGAAUUAAGACUAAUGGGGACAUGAAUUUCUUCUCACGCUCACUGCUCUGAGAAAUUUCAUUUCAGGUUCCCAAGUGCAAAUUUCAGACAGUUAAAGUACACAGAAGUUAGCAUGAGCUGCAAGGUCACAGAUGGGAAUAUUCCUUUACCUUAGAUGCGAGUUUAUUGGGCAUUUGUCAUUUUACUAUUAUUUUUCUCUUGUGGGAGAGAAGUUUUUUUUUGCAUUGCUAGGUAACGGCAAUAGAGGAAAGUAGACCUGGAUUAUUUCAUGCAAAAGCAUCUGCCUUUUUACAUCUACACCAACGUGAAGGGCAACAAGUAACCUUGAUGAGACCAUAGAGUUAUUCUGGGUUUAGCUUUCAUCUAAAAACUGGAUGAAAAGAAGAAUGUUUCAUGGGAAGGGAGGGGAAACUCCAGAACUGCCAUUUUUCUUUCUGGGAAAGCUGUAGAAGCACCACGUUAAAAUUACAAUUUUGACUAAGAUAUCCUCACCCAACAAACCAAAGACAACCAACAACCAAAACACCCAAUGUCUUAAAAAUCAGAGUUCUUCUAGCAAUACAGAAUCAGUGCCUUUUAGUAUCACUGCAUUUCUCUGAUGUAGAAAGCAAGGAACACCAGCUAAAUGAAGCACAAUCAGAUCUGCAAUCAAAUGCAGAACUUUGGCCUUUGGCAUCUCUCAAAAAUGAAAGUGACUACUUUUUCAGGCAGAAGGGAAGAAGCAGGAAAAAAAGAAAAAAAAAGAAAAACCAAAACACAAAGAAACAUCACAACCUCAUUGUUAACUCUCCUUCUUACACAAUCAAUGCAACAAGAAUUCUCCAGAGGCUUCGCAGCACAGCUGAAAAUCUGUCCUGUAAUACAUGCAAGACCACAGCUCAAAACGUCAGAACUGCACUGGCAAUGAUCUGGGCUUGAUCUUUUUGACUUAUACCACAGUAAACCAAAUUGAAUUACAUGGAAUGAAACAAAAUUUCUUGAGUUCUAAAUCAGUACCCUUUUAGAACAAAUAUUGAUGAAAUUAUCCCACUGGUUGGACAGAAGGAUUCAAUACUUUCGGUGAUAAUUUCUUUGAACCAAAGGUUUUGGAUAUAGGGCAUAGGAUAAUAUUGUUUUAAAUAAAGUUAUAUUCAGUCUGUCAUUCUAGAGAAGCUGGAUGUACUGAAAU
Molecule: long non-coding RNA, 1229 nt
Organism: Gallus gallus (chicken)
Lineage: Eukaryota; Metazoa; Chordata; Aves; Galliformes; Phasianidae
Source: Ensembl